Molecule: ribosomal RNA, 406 nt
Filed under: uncultured bacterium
Lineage: Bacteria
Description: partial 16S ribosomal RNA
Rfam family: Bacterial small subunit ribosomal RNA
Source: RNAcentral
AUUGAACGCUGGCGGCAGGCCUAACACAUGCAAGUCGAACGAGUGGCGGACGGGGGAGUAAUGCCUGGGACACUGCCCGAUGGAGGGGGAUAAUAACUGGAAACGGUAGUUAAUACUGCAUCCCAUCGGUCGUGCCCAGAUGGGAGUAGCUUGUAGGUGGGGUAACGGCUGACCUAGGCGACGAUCCCUAGCUGGUCUGAGAGGAUGACCAGCCACACUGGAACUGAGACACGGUCCAGACUCCUACGGGAGGCAGCAGUGGGGAAUAUUGGACAAUGGGCGCAAGCCUGAUGCAGCCAUGCCGCGUGUAUGAAGAAGGCCUUCGGGUUGUAAAGUACUUUCAGCGGGGAGGCGUUACCCACAGAAGAAGCACCGGCUAACUCCGUGCCAGCAGCCGCGGUAAUUC